RNAcentral lists this non-coding RNA (253 nucleotides) under uncultured bacterium. Its description in RNAcentral is "partial 16S ribosomal RNA". It matches the Rfam family "Bacterial small subunit ribosomal RNA", at positions 524 to 776 of the family's 1533-position model. RNAcentral also lists the same sequence under 1 other name. The record is from RNAcentral.
GACGAAGGUGGCGACCGUUGUUCGGAAUUACUGGGCAUAAAGCGCACGUAGGCGGCAAUGUAAGUCAGGUGUGAAAUCCCUCGGCCCAACCGAGGAAUUGCGCUUGAGACUGUGUUGCUUGAGGGCAGGAGGGGAGCGUGGAAUUCCUGGUGGAGCGGUGAAAUGCGUUGAUAUCAGGAGGAACACCGGCGGCGAAGGCGACGCUCUGGCCUGUUUCUGACGCUGAGGUGCGAAAGCCAGGGGAGCAAACGGG